RNAcentral lists this ribosomal RNA (247 nucleotides) under uncultured bacterium. Its description in RNAcentral is "partial 16S ribosomal RNA". It matches the Rfam family "Bacterial small subunit ribosomal RNA", at positions 523 to 769 of the family's 1533-position model. The record is from RNAcentral.
AUACGUAGGGAACGAGCGUUGUCCGGAAUUACUGGGCGUAAAGGGCGCGUAGGCGGGUAUUUAAGUCAGAUGUGAAAGCUCCGGGCUUAACUUGGAGAGUGCAUUUGAAACUGGAUAUCUUGAGGGCAGGAGAGGAAAGUGGAAUUCCUAGUGUAGCGGUGGAAUGCGUAGAUAUUAGGAGGAACACCAGUGGCGAAGGCGACUUUCUGGACUGUACCUGACGCUGAGGCGCGAAAGCAUGGGGAGC